Molecule: unclassified non-coding RNA, 332 nt
Filed under: fungal sp.
Lineage: Eukaryota; Fungi
Description: partial internal transcribed spacer region
Rfam family: Eukaryotic small subunit ribosomal RNA (bases 1-46)
Source: RNAcentral
AAGUCGUAACAAGGUCUCCGUAGGUGAACCUGCGGAGGGAUCAUUAACACGUACGAAUAACAAAGUAGAAUGGUACUGGUAUACUGGUACUGACCUACUUUAUUAUUUAUACCAACUCGUGAACGAAACUGUAUGCCUCUCUCCUUAGCGAUGUUACGUUGCUUUGCUAACCUAACAUUGCUAAGCUAUGUUUUUCAUUGUAUUCUCUCUAUACAAACCAAUAUCUAAAUUGUAACUAAAUAAAAAUGCACACAUGUAACAGUAUGUGCGUACUUUUAUGAUAAAAUUCAACAUUUUAAGCACAACUCUUAGCAACGGAUAUCUCGGUUCUC